Pseudophryne corroboree (corroboree frog) is the source of this 1492-nucleotide long non-coding RNA. RefSeq lists it as uncharacterized. The record is from RefSeq and is a predicted model, not a curated record. The transcript has 4 exons. Lineage: Eukaryota; Metazoa; Chordata; Amphibia; Anura; Myobatrachidae.
UGAGAGCUCGCGGACCGGCGCCUGAUUUGAGACAUACACGCUGGCUGCCGUCACCGCCGGAGAUCAGACUGAAAAGCAGGGCGGCAGGCAGGAGAAGCGCGCGCUGCGCUCACCACACAGUAACGAUGACGAGAACAGAGAUGGCAUGCUAGAAGGAGGCAUUAAAAACAAGGCAGAAGUGGACCCAAGUGACGUCUGGCUGACAGUUCUUCCAACAGUUUACUUUGAGACACAAGUCACUCGUCAAGGGGGAACGGAAGAGCUACAUCAACACAAGACAGGAUGGUUGUAUUGAAGUCCUACAGCUGAAAAUGGACACAGAGGGGAGAUGUAUUAUGCCUUGGAGAGAGAUAAAAUAAAGAUACUUUGCCUACAGUUAUCCAGUUCUGACUAAUGAGAAAAACAUUUCGCCAAGACUUCUGAUAACCGAUAUGCGUGAUUGUUAGUCACAGUGCACAUUGAUGACCAUUUGGAAGAGCCAGCAUGAACUUUGCUAAUGAGUGCUUUGUUGUACUGUAUAGCGAAGUAUAAAAGACUCACAGAAUGCAUCCAUCUAAACCAAUUAAAUGGGCGCCAUAAAUGGCCUCAUAACUUAGAUAACAAUGACUUGUGGUUUAUGAAACAGGAUCCGUCUAAUGCCAACCUCAUAGCGACUCAUCCUUUACCGAUCAACCAGAAGAGAAGUUUAAUGAAGCAAAUACUGAUGGCUAUCUGGAGGAUUGCAAACAAAUAGGAAAAAAUAAAGAUAUUAUGCACAGAAUUGGCAGAACAAAAGAUAGCGACUAUUAAAGGAAAUGCAUUACGAAUUGCAGCUCGGAGCUUGCACAGAGCAGCUGGUGAGUGAAAGGCACAAGGCCUAUGCUGGCUGGGUUACUGAUAUGAACACAAGAUGCUAUUUCAUUUUUAAUAUAAAAGUGUGUCCACUGAGUCUAUGUACAUCUGGUAUUUUUGUAGUAAAAGUCUAUUUUUUAAAUUUACUGUAUAAAAUGUGUAGCUCAGCGUGAAGUCCAAGAGAGUAUAGAGAAACAUAUGAGAGGUGUUUUCUGCUGAUGACAUGUAAAGACCUUGAACAUAGAUUUCCAUGUAGCUGAAUAUAUCUCCUUAUCAGUCCUUAUAGAGUUUCUAAAUAUAUAACAGUGUAUAGAGCACGUGUUGAUGUCAACUGAGCAGGGGUGGGAUUGGCUGCAGAGAUCAUCUGGAGUUUUUAGGUAGCGAGGACAUCACUGUACAACUGUCCAAUUCUGGUGGAACAGUUCUGAUUUUGGAGAACUGUCCCACUCAGUCAGGAUGUUGUCCCAACUUUAGGAACAUUGGAAUGAUUGGUAGCAAGGACGGAACUACCAUUGGUGCCGCAGAUGCAUUGCACUUGGGCCCCUGGGCACUAAGGGGCCCAAUGCUGCCAAGAACAGCAAUGAGUUUCCCUUGUCGGAAGACUGGCCCAGCGUUGGGAGCAGGGUGGGCCCCAUCACCUGAGGGACCUGGCCCUUAUCAU